GAUGAACGCUGACAGAAUGCUUAACACAUGCAAGUCGAUGGGGAAGUGGUGCUUGCACCAUGGCAACCAUGGCGGACGGGUGAGUAACGCGUAAGGGACUUACCUGCAGGACUGGGAUAACAGGGGGAAACUCCUGACAAGACCGGAUAAUGUCAUGGAGCUGCAUGGCUUUAUGAUGAAAGGAGACGCCUGCGGAGAGCCUUGCGUCCUAUUAGCUAGUUGGUAAGGUAAUGGCUCACCAAGGCGAAGAUAGGUAGCCGGCCUGAGAGGGUGGACGGCCACAAGGGGACUGAGAUACGGCCCUUACUCCUACGGGAGGCAGCAGUGGGGAAUAUUGGACAAUGGGGGCAACCCUGAUCCAGCAAUUCUGUGUGCACGAAGAAGGUUUUCGGAUUGUAAAGUGCUUUCAGCAGGGAAGAAGUAAGUGACGGUACCUGCAGAAGAAGCGACGGCUAAAUACGUG
This 463-nucleotide ribosomal RNA is filed under the name uncultured bacterium. RNAcentral's name for it is "partial 16S ribosomal RNA". It matches the Rfam family "Bacterial small subunit ribosomal RNA", at positions 28 to 507 of the family's 1533-position model. The record is from RNAcentral.